UGAUAAUAUGUGAAUCUGUGAUAAUUUGACAUUAGAAUGAAUUUGCUAUUUGUUUUCCUUUGUAAUUAUAAAUCUUCGUGCUUUGUUGCUUUUAAUUGACAGGACAGGCUUUUAGUUAUAGUUGAAGACAUUGCACAAGAAAAAGCAAGAAAACACAGCCCCAGUGCACUUUGCAUGCCUAUCUAUCUUUGAUCACAUCGCACACUGUUUGUGUGUGGGAGAGGGAAAGAAAUUGCACAGGCAAAAAACAAGAUAAUAAAUGAAGAAAAGCAUAAUCAAACACUCACUCUGGUGAAGUUACAAAAACAACCCAUGUAUUAUCAUCACUUUUUUUGAUUUUUUAACUUUUGAUAUCAUGUGCUUCUUUCUUUAUACCAAAUUAUAAAAAUAUUAACUCAUCAUUUCACUCUGUUGAAUAUCUGUUAAAGUAGUUCCCUUGAUGCUUGACAUCAAAGCACUAUUUAAUCAUUUUCAGAGGGCUCUUGGAGUCAUAAGAUAAAGCCAUUGGGUUUUUAGAUAGCUCUCUCAGAUUUCUCAUUGGUUUGUUUUUGUGCUUUUUCUAGGGCAUCAUGAAAUUCCAUUAAAAUGGGUAGAUUAAAUUCCUAGGACUUAGAUUUUGAGCUAGUUGUAUUAAAUUUAAUGAAUUAUGUUUUCCAUUUACCCUUCCCUUGUACCAAUUGUGGUAUAUGGGAUUUCUAAUUUUUGAAGAUCUGCAUUAGUGGUCAUAAAGAUUUUUUUUUUUUUUCUUUUUCUUCAAGUGUUUGUGGAGAGAUUCUACUGUAAUGGAAUUUAGUCCAGUACCUUAUGUUUGCUUCUGGGAUCUGAAUUUCAAUCUGAUAAGUAAUUUUUUCUCCAUAGAUCUUUCAGUCAAUUGCUAAGUUUCUGUAGAUGGCCGAGGUUCAAAAUCAAAAUUAGACCUUUGUUUUCCUUAUCUUGAUUUCACAAUUCAUUAGGCAAAUAAUAUUACAAUUCAAGUCCUCCUAGCAUUCUUGCUUCUGUGGGUCUAACACUUUUAACUGGCCAUUGAUUGCCAUUGAGUGAAACUUGAUCAUUGACAUCUGAUGAAAUUUCAGGUACAGGCAGCUUACAAAUGAGCGUUGCUGAAGUCUCAUCCAGAUCAAGCUCCGCACUCAUGUGGUUGGAAAGCAUUCUUUUGUUUGUAAAGUAACUUAUUAGUGUUGGUUGAACUUAUGUCUGUUGGUUGAGAAGCCGUCAGUUAUCAAUCAGGCAUGUCAUUUGUUGAACUUAUGUCUGUCGGUUGAGGAAAUUGAAAGUAUUUGUUACAUUUAUUGAUACAUUUUAUUUAUAUAUGAUAAAUGUUUGUGUUAA
Molecule: long non-coding RNA, 1329 nt
Filed under: Olea europaea subsp. europaea
Lineage: Eukaryota; Viridiplantae; Streptophyta; Magnoliopsida; Lamiales; Oleaceae
Source: RNAcentral